This is a non-coding RNA of Schistosoma mansoni, 45 nucleotides long. NCBI's taxonomy places the organism in Eukaryota, Metazoa, Platyhelminthes, Trematoda, Strigeidida, Schistosomatidae. The record is from Rfam.
AUCCAACUGACGAGUCCCAAAUAGGACGAAACACGCGUCCUUUAU